UACAGAGGGUGCAAGCGUUGUUCGGAAUUACUGGGCGUAAAGAGCUCGUAGGCGGUUUGUCGCGUCUGCCGUGAAAGUCCGGGGCUCAACUCCGGAUCUGCGGUGGGUACGGGCAGACUAGAGUGAUGUAGGGGGGACUGGAAUUCCUGGUGUAGCGGUGAAAUGCGCAGAUAUCAGGAGGAACACCGAUGGCGAAGGCAGGUCUCUGGGCAUUAACUGACGCUGAGGAGCGAAAGCCAGGGGAGCAAACGGG
RNAcentral lists this ribosomal RNA (253 nucleotides) under uncultured bacterium. Its description in RNAcentral is "partial 16S ribosomal RNA". It matches the Rfam family "Bacterial small subunit ribosomal RNA", at positions 524 to 776 of the family's 1533-position model. The record is from RNAcentral.